RNAcentral lists this ribosomal RNA (515 nucleotides) under uncultured bacterium. Its description in RNAcentral is "bacterial SSU rRNA". It matches the Rfam family "Bacterial small subunit ribosomal RNA", at positions 8 to 518 of the family's 1533-position model. The record is from RNAcentral.
AGAGUUUGAUUAUGGCUCAGGAUGAACGCUAGCUACAGGCUUAACACAUGCAAGUCGAGGGUAGCAGGGUAGCAAUACCGCUGACGACCGGCGCACGGGUGAGUAACACGUAUCCAACCUUCCCAUAACUCAGGGAUAGCCUUUCGAAAGAAAGAUUAAUACCUGAUAGUACUUUUUCAAGGCAUCUUGAAAAAAGUUAAAGAUUUAUUGGUUAUGGAUGGGGAUGCGUUCCAUUAGAUAGUUGGUGAGGUAACGGCUCACCAAGUCUUCGAUGGAUAGGGGUUCUGAGAGGAAGGUCCCCCACAUUGGUACUGAGACACGGACCAAACUCCUACGGGAGGCAGCAGUGAGGAAUAUUGGUCAAUGGGCGAGAGCCUGAACCAGCCAAGUGGCGUGAAAAGGAUGAAGGUCCUAUGGAUUGUAAACUUCUUUUAUAGUAGAAUAAAGUGAGCCACGUGUGGUUUUUUGUAUGUAUACUAUGAAUAAGGAUCGGCUAACUCCGUGCCAGCCGCCGC